UGCUGUUCUUCGAGGUACUGUUAGAAGGCGGGCGCGCGCCCGGGCAAGGAGGACGCCAUCCGGAGGAUGAGAGUGGGGCCCUUGCGGAGGAGGAACCCGGAGAUGUGGUGCCCCAGAAGGAAGCCGGGGCUGGCUGAGCGUCAGCGCCGCGCCCCCCACACUCCCGGGAUGGCUCCCAGAACUUGACUUUAACUUGUUAUAAAGGAUCUAAGUGAAUUGCCAGAAGGAAAAGACACAAGGAAACAGGAACUGGAAGCUGCCUUGAAGUCAGACACUCCAAUAGGAGCUGCAGGCAUCCCAAGAGACUCUUGCAUCAAAAACAUGAACCAGUUUGGCCUGUUCACCGGGGAAGAAGGAGGAGCCUUGAGUGGUCAGUGGUGGAAGACACCUGACCAGGGCUUUUGGGGAUGAAAUAGACAUUUAAAUUUCUGAAGAAGCCAGGAACAGUGUCUUGCCUAUUCUACUUGUGCCAUCUAAUGAAUGUGUACAUAGAUGGCAAGUCGCCCACCAUCUCUGAAUCCAUUUCAUUAUCUGUAAGCUGACAUUGAAAGAGCUGACUCUGUCCAUCAGUGUGCUCAAAGC
Ochotona princeps (American pika) is the source of this 582-nucleotide long non-coding RNA. RefSeq lists it as uncharacterized. The record is from RefSeq and is a predicted model, not a curated record. The transcript has 4 exons. NCBI's taxonomy places the organism in Eukaryota, Metazoa, Chordata, Mammalia, Lagomorpha, Ochotonidae.